This is a non-coding RNA of Schistosoma haematobium, 78 nucleotides long. The record is from Rfam. Lineage: Eukaryota; Metazoa; Platyhelminthes; Trematoda; Strigeidida; Schistosomatidae.
AGCCUUCUGUAUCCGUGCUGAGAUUUCGUCACACACCAGAUUACGAGGACUGAUGAGACAUCCAAGAUAAAUGAAGCG